Molecule: ribosomal RNA, 430 nt
Filed under: uncultured bacterium
Lineage: Bacteria
Description: bacterial SSU rRNA
Rfam family: Bacterial small subunit ribosomal RNA
Source: RNAcentral
GUGGGGAAUAUUGCACAAUGGGCGAAAGCCUGAUGCAGCAACGCCGCGUGAGGGACGACGGCCUUCGGGUUGUAAACCUCUUUUAGAAGGGAAGAAGCGAAAGUGGCGGUACCUGCAGAAAAAGUACCGGCUAACUACGUGCCAGCAGCGGCGGUAAUUCGUAGGGUGCAAGCGUUAUCCGGAAUUAUUGGGCGUAAAGAGCUCGUAGGCGGUCUGUCGCGUCUGCUGUGAGAACUGGAGGAUCAACCGCGAGACUGCAGUGGGUACGGGCAGACUAGAGUGCGGUAGGGGAGAUUGGAAUUCCUGGUGUAGCGGUGGAAUGCGCAGAUAUCAGGAGGAACACCGAUGGCGAAGGCAGAUCUCUGGGCCGUAACUGACGCUGAGGAGCGAAAGCGUGGGGAGCGAACAGGAUUAGAUACCCCAGUAGUCC